Transfer RNA from Trichoderma virens Gv29-8, 83 nucleotides. It matches the Rfam family "tRNA". From Rfam's summary of the family: Transfer RNA (tRNA) molecules are approximately 80 nucleotides in length. Their secondary structure includes four short double-helical elements and three loops (D, anti-codon, and T loops). Lineage: Eukaryota; Fungi; Ascomycota; Sordariomycetes; Hypocreales; Hypocreaceae. The record is from Rfam.
GCCGUGAUCGUAUAACGGUUAGUACAACAGUUUGUGGAUCUUACGAGACACUGUAAAUCCAGGUUCGAUUCCUGGUCACGGCA